Molecule: ribosomal RNA, 459 nt
Filed under: uncultured bacterium
Lineage: Bacteria
Description: partial 16S ribosomal RNA
Rfam family: Bacterial small subunit ribosomal RNA
Source: RNAcentral
CCUACGGGAGGCAGCAGUGAGGAAUAUUGGUCAAUGGCCGCAGGGCUGAACCAGCCAAGUCGCGUGAGGGAUGACGGUCCUAUGGAUUGUAAACCUCUUUUGUCAGGGAGCAAAGUGCGCCACGUGUGGCGCUUUGCGAGUACCUGAAGAAAAAGCAUCGGCUAACUCCGUGCCAGCAGCCGCGGUAAUACGGAGGAUGCGAGCGUUAUCCGGAUUUAUUGGGUUUAAAGGGUGCGCAGGCGGAAUGUCAAGUCAGCGGUAAAAUUUCGGGGCUCAACCCCGUCGUGCCGUUGAAACUGGCGUUCUUGAGUGAGCGAGAAGUAUGCGGAAUGCGUGGUGUAGCGGUGAAAUGCAUAGAUAUCACGCAGAACUCCGAUUGCGAAGGCAGCAUACCGGCGCUCAACUGACGCUCAUGCACGAAAGCGUGGGUAUCGAACAGGAUUAGAUACCCCAGUAGUC